RNA transcript from Zea mays, 2610 nucleotides. RefSeq lists it as uncharacterized. The record is from RefSeq and is marked validated. NCBI's taxonomy places the organism in Eukaryota, Viridiplantae, Streptophyta, Magnoliopsida, Poales, Poaceae. The transcript is spliced from 14 exons.
CUCCAGGCCCUCAUCCGCCCCUCCUCCCCAAACGAAAUGCUAUAUUUGCAGAAAGGUCCCAAUCCAAGUCCAACAACCGAAAAGAAGACGACACUCGGAGGGCUUUCCUGUAAGUUUCGAGGGCGGCGAAGCACUAGGGCAUCCACCUCGGCGGUGGCGGCGGCGGCCUCCAUGUCGGGCAGCAACGGGAACGGCGGCGGCGCCUCCUCCGCGCUCUAUGGCUUAUACGGUCCCAACGUGAAACCUGAUGUUGUUUUUAAGGAGGCUGCUUUAAACUCUACACUAAACCUGCAGGAUGUUCAGGGUCUAGUUACUUGGGUUAUUGGUGACGGCAUGCUGCCUUCUUGGGUGUUUGUUAAGAACAAACCUCUUAUACCCAAAGUCGUCCUACUAUAUGUUCCUGGCCUUGAUGCAGCUUUAUAUAUGUCACAAACUCGACUUCUCUCUUCUCUGAAAGAAUUAUGUGGCAAUCCAAAACCUGUUCUAGCUUCAAGCAGCUGUAUACCGGAUGAUAGGCACACAAUUGAUGCACUCCUAACCUGCAGAGUAAAGAGAAAGCUUGAUGUAAAAACAUCAAAUCAGUCAUCUAAACCUGACAGGGAUGGAAAACUAUCAAGUCUGGAUGAUCUUGGGGACAUACCAUUUCCUGUUACGUAUUACACACUUUCAGAGAAAGACUUGGAAGAUAAUGGCUACCCCUUCAAUUUACCAGGUUUUGUCCCUACUGUUUCAGCUCCUUCAGGUUCCUUGCCACAUAAAGUUCUUGCACUUGAUUGUGAAAUGUGCAUAACAGAAGCUGGAUUUGAGCUUACAAGAGUGACAUUAAUUGACAUUAAAGGAUCGGUGGUGCUAGAUAGACUAGUUAAGCCUGCUAAUCCAAUCAUUGAUUACAAUACAAGGUUCAGUGGAAUCACUGCUGAGAUGUUGGCUGACGUGUCCACAUCCCUGCAUGAAAUUCAGGAAGAGUUUGUUGGACUUGUAUAUACAGAAACAAUUCUUGUUGGUCAUUCUUUGGAAAAUGACCUUAUGGCAUUGCAGAUAUCCCAUGGUUUAAUCAUCGACACAGCUGUUUUGUACAAGUAUAAUCGAGGAUCUCGCUGUAAGAUUGCUUUGCGUGUCUUGACAAAAAGAUUUCUCGGCCGGGAGAUCCAGAACACAGGAUCUGGGCAUGACAGUGUGGAAGAUGCUAGAGCUGCUCUAGAACUUGCUAUAUUGAAAAUAAGACAUGGUAAGAACUAAGAAGGCAUUUUUGCUAUCACUUUUGUUUGGCUAACAUCCAUUUCUGUAAAUAGCUAAUGUGGAUAGGGAGACAACAUGGCAUAAGCAUAUCAUUUUGUUGGUACUUUCUACUAACUUGUUAACCAGGUCCUGAUUUUGGUUCCCAACCAUCGUUGUCAAGGCGGAAAUUGACAUCUAUACUGCAUGAGAGUGGGAAAAAAUGCUCCCUUAUUGAUGACAUGUCUAUUCUAGAUCGAUAUUCAGAUACUUCUUGCAAUUCAAUUGCUGUCUUUUCUGAUGAUGAUGCCCUCUCCAGAUCAAUGAAGGAGGUGAAGAACGACAAAGUGGCUUUCAUUUGGACCCAGUUCUCAGGAUUGAUCUCUUACUUCCGCCGAAGAGCUGAAGAUCCCGAAAAGUUGAAAUCAUGUGUCGCAGAGGCUAUUGCAUUAAAAACAUGUGAUACAAAAACUGCUUCAAAAAAAGCAAAAAGUCAAAUUUGUCCUGAAUUAAAGGAAAUUUUGUGUGAAUUGGAUAAAAAGAUAAAGCAGUUAUAUGGUGCCCUACCUGACAAUUCUAUGCUUAUUGUAUGCACCGGCCAUGGUGAUACUCCUCUAGUACGAAGAUUGCGGAAAAUGCUUCACCAUGAAGAAGAAACAAUAGAUAGCCGGGAAAAUAUUGUCCAAGCUCUGGGAGAUUUACAAGCCCAAGCCGAAGUUGCUCUGUGCUUCUGCUGUGUUAAGCAUUAACUAACUGCAUCUUUGGAUUAAUGUACUGAUGGAUAUGGCUUCAGCCAUUAUAGAAGGGGGGUGGCAAAAGUUCCGGCUAUAUGGUAUCGGACCAUGUUUUCGAUUCAUAAUAUGGCCCUUACUAUUUACACUCAGGGAGACUGUUCAUGCGGGGAAGAACAUUGGCCACUGCCUACGGAAGUGCGGUAAAUGGCAAUAUGACGCACGUGCUCCUGAUCCUGAUGCAGCCAGCCUGACGAAUCCCAAAUACGGGCAGGCUAUUGGGUUUGUUGACCCCAAGCUGUCCUUGGAGAGUUGAAUUCAUUAAUUUAUUUAUGGCUAGACCAGGAUGUUAUGGUUGCUUGUUACUUUCACUGAAUCUUCAAGUGGGUUCGUUGUAUAAAUAAUACUCUCUUCAUUUUUUUAAUCUGUUGCGGUAUAGUUUAAAAAUAAACUAACGAGCGACAAAUAUUGAGAACCAAGGUGGUACACCCUUCGUUCCAGAAUAGUAAUCCCUCCCUCCCAAAAUAGUAUUCAUUUUAGACUUCAUUUUUUAUGUUUAUAUUCAUGUAUGAUAAAUUUAGAUAUAUAUAUACAAAAUACAUACAUUAAUUAUUAUAUGAAUCCUUUAAGAGACUAAGGGAAGGGUGCGUUUAUUUCCCUUUUA